This 75-nucleotide transfer RNA is filed under the name Podarcis lilfordi (Lilford's wall lizard). RNAcentral's name for it is "tRNA.Asn". It matches the Rfam family "tRNA". From Rfam's summary of the family: Transfer RNA (tRNA) molecules are approximately 80 nucleotides in length. Lineage: Eukaryota; Metazoa; Chordata; Lepidosauria; Squamata; Lacertidae. The record is from RNAcentral.
AUUUACUGUGGUGCAAUGGGUCAGUGUGUCUGGCUGUUAACCAGAAGGCUGGUGGUUCAUGCCCACCCAGGGACA